This 637-nucleotide ribosomal RNA is filed under the name uncultured bacterium. Its description in RNAcentral is "bacterial SSU rRNA". It matches the Rfam family "Bacterial small subunit ribosomal RNA", at positions 232 to 879 of the family's 1533-position model. The record is from RNAcentral.
CGCGGCCUAUCAGCUUGUUGGUGGGGUGAUGGCCUACCAAGGCGACGACGGGUAGCCGGCCUGAGAGGGCGACCGGCCACACUGGGACUGAGACACGGCCCAGACUCCUACGGGAGGCAGCAGUGGGGAAUAUUGCGCAAUGGGCGGAAGCCUGACGCAGCGACGCCGCGUGGGGGAUGAAGGCCUUCGGGUUGUAAACCUCUUUCAGCAGGGAAGAAGCGGAAGUGACGGUACCUGCAGAAGAAGCACCGGCUAACUACGUGCCAGCAGCCGCGGUAAUACGUAGGGUGCAAGCGUUGUCCGGAAUUAUUGGGCGUAAAGAGCUCGUAGGCGGUCUGUCGCGUCUGCUGUGAAAACUCGGGGCUUAACUCCGGGCCUGCAGUGGGUACGGGCAGACUAGAGUGCGGUAGGGGAGACUGGAAUUCCUGGUGUAGCGGUGAAAUGCGCAGAUAUCAGGAGGAACACCGGUGGCGAAGGCGGGUCUCUGGGCCGUAACUGACGCUGAGGAGCGAAAGCGUGGGGAGCGAACAGGAUUAGAUACCCUGGUAGUCCACGCCGUAAACGUUGGGCGCUAGGUGUGGGGCUCUUUCCACGAGUUCCGUGCCGCAGCAAACGCAUUAAGCGCCCCGCCUGGGGA